AACGUCACGCAUUGGUGACGUCUGGUGGGGACCGGGUUUUGGGGUUUCUCACCAGUUCCGGGUCCCCGCAGGGGGGUCCCGGUUCUCUCCGUUCCUUUGAGUAUGUUGUGGGGAGUGGAGCUCGGAUAGUUCCUAGAGUCUAGGCAAGAAAAGCAGCACUGCAGGUACAGAGCCUCCUCUUCCCGCAAAAUGGCGGCAGCUCUGCCGUCUUCCAGAACCUUCCCCAAUCUGCGCAUGCGCCAAGACUCCCCGGCUUUGGAAAUAACCUCACUGGUUUCGCGGCAACCGUCCAAAGUACAGGUUCUCAUUGGCUAAAGUCCUAAGUAUGGGUGGAGCAAACUCAAAUGCGUCUUAGCAACCACCGAGUUCCCAUUGAUUGGCUAACCUCAGAGACUCCAGAAAAUGGAAGCGUCCUUUGGUAGCCGCCCAUCACUCUCUCAUUGGUUAAAUGACUUGCGGAGGGCGGGGAAAACGGGACUGAAAACGGGAGUGAAGAAGCCACCAACCCCACUCCUGGUGCUCGCGUAGACUAGACCAGUGCGAUGGGCGGAGCCAACGAGGAGGCACAAUUUACAUCCUUGGCCGUCCCUACUCGGAUUUGCUGAAGGAGUCACGUCGGUCGUUAAGGUUAAGCUUUGUAGAGAACAGCGGCGUUUGUUUAACGUCCGGGGAUGCUGAACUCGAAAUCCCCGUUCUGAGCCGGCUACCUAAACAACCUUCCCGACCACCUCUCCUGACCUCGGUGCUUGGGACCAGGGAAAAGCAGAUCUUGCCACAGACUUGUCUUGGCCCACACUCUGCCCUAUCGUCAUGGCCUGCUCCCACAGGUCAUAACUUCCGUUCAAAUCAGUACCCCCACAUUUCCCACUGCAAGGGUAAAUUUGAAAGUUUCUCAGGUGACUCCUUGGAUGUAGCAGUACUGAGUCCUCUAACCGGAAAGAAGGAACUGAUGUCCACCCUCACUUUCCAGGGGCCUCCAGGAGCCCCUAGACACUUCUGUGGUCUACUGUAGCUACCAAAAAUGUAGCUGGUUAUAACAUGGGGAGAGCCAGAGUCGGAGGACCUGACUUCCAAUUCUGACUUGGAUACUAAUAUCACAUCAUUGUACCCAUUUCAAACUCCCCCUCUGUAAAAUGGAAAAUUGGACUAGAUGAUCUCUUAGGACUUCAAACUGUAACCCUGUGGUUUUAUUCAAAAAAAACAGGUAGCUUCUUGCUGGAGAUUCCUGGAUGGAUUCCAGUCUUCCCAAGAGAAGAAAAUAGCUGAUGCAAAUACAGAAAAAGAAGAGGACUAAAGAGUACCACUUCUUUCCAGAGAGAGUGGUUCUUUACCUCAGGGUCACGGUCCUUCUCCCUACAGGCUCGGACCUCAUUGUACAGCUUGGAGGAAGAGAUGGGAGCCAGAAAGGAAGUGUACUCCCCGGGGAUGCUCACACCAUCAUCUGCACAGCAGGAGAGUCAAAUUAGUUCCAGAGGGAGGGAAAUGCAUACAGCUUUAUCCGCCGGUCGGCCUGCUUGGCUGCCCGCAGGGAAGCGUUCACCAGGGGUCCCCGUCCUGCUCCCAGCACCAUCAGUACCCUAAGAAAGAAAGGGAAGAGUCAAGCAGACUUGGCAUAUACAGAUAUAGGAGGUAAGAGAAGCCACACCCAUCCCAGGAUUCUCAUGGACUCACCCACUGCAAUCCUCUUACUAUAGUCACACAAAGUCCGGAAGUUGUGCCACCUGUUCAGUCAAAUACAGAAAAGUACAGUAAACUAGAUAUGGCCGACCAAUCACCACAGCUCAAGGAGACCUCCCUACAGGUUGCACCCUGUACUUCCCCUCACCCUAUCCCUUGCACCCUGGUACAGCAGCAAAGGGAGACAUACCACAUCCACGUUUUCUCCUCCCCACUGUACUCCUCUGUGUGUGUAGUUGGUGCAUUCUCAAUUAUAUCAUCUCUCAGGUCCUCUGGUGCCACCAAGGGUACCCGCAUCCAGAACUGCACAUGAACAGUCACCCUUUUAGAACUCUCUUUUGAACUCAUUGGGUCCAGAAAGUUUCCCUCAAUAAAAAAAACUUCAUCCA
Molecule: long non-coding RNA, 2066 nt
Filed under: Homo sapiens (human)
Lineage: Eukaryota; Metazoa; Chordata; Mammalia; Primates; Hominidae
Description: PREDICTED lncRNA (TCONS_00072277)
Source: RNAcentral